UUCCCAGUUAAAAGAUUGUUAGUCAUUCUUGUUAUAUUUAUUAUAUCGGUUGCUGAUGUUCAUUUAGUUCUCCGAUACCAGAAGAAGUUCUGCUUUGAUGUUACAGACGCUCGUAAUUUUUAUUUUUAUUUAUUUAUUUUACAUUUAUUCAGUUUCCGUUUUGUAAAUAUACUUUUGUUUUGGUGAAACUGUUUGCAUUACUUAUCCAGAGAAAAGAAAAGUAACUUUCCUCUUGGUCCGUUUAAUUGCUUUUGAUGGGAAUUCUGUCUUUAGAUUGAGAUGGAAAAUCAGUUCUUUACUUCUUUGGACUUGUCUGAGUUUCAUUUUUAAUGAUAUACGCAAGUGUCCUUCACCUGACACUCUUUGGUAGAACGACUUUAACAAAUUGUUAACCAUGCAUUUACCAUCCAUGAAGAUGGGUGUCACUUGACUUAUUUUGAAGCUAUUAUCGCUUUUGUCGAAUUAUGAUUAAUAUUUGAGCUUUUGGGUUGAUUCUAACAACCAAGUUAUAACUAAUAUGUCAUUUAUCUAAUUGAAGAUUGCAGACAGAUAUAAUUUCUUAAUCUUUGAAGAUCGUAAGUUUGCAGACAUUGGUAAUACAAUAACAAUGCAGUAUGAAGGCGGUAUCUUUCAUAUAUUGGAUUGGGCUGAUAUAAUUAAUGCUCACAUAAUCUCUGGUCCUGGGAUAGUUGACGGAUUGAAAUUGAAGGGUUUGCCUCGUGGUAGGGGCCUGUUGCUGCUUGCCGAAAUGAACUGAGCUGGUAACCUUGCUAAAGGUGACUAUACAGCUG
Molecule: long non-coding RNA, 791 nt
Organism: Ziziphus jujuba (common jujube)
Lineage: Eukaryota; Viridiplantae; Streptophyta; Magnoliopsida; Rosales; Rhamnaceae
Exons: 3
Source: RefSeq, a predicted model, not a curated record